UACGGAGGGUGCAAGCGUUAAUCGGAAUUACUGGGCGUAAAGCGCACGCAGGUGGCUGAGUCAGUCGAUUGUGAAAGCCCUGGGCUUAACCUGGGAAUUGCAGUCGAUACUACUCGGCUCGAGUAUGGGAGAGGGCAGUGGAAUUCCCGGUGUAGAGGUGAAAUUCGUAGAUAUCGGGAGGAACACCAGUGGCGAAGGCGGCGACCUGGGCCAAUACUGACGCUGAGGUGCGAAAGCGUGGGGAGCAAACAGG
This 253-nucleotide ribosomal RNA is filed under the name uncultured bacterium. RNAcentral's name for it is "partial 16S ribosomal RNA". It matches the Rfam family "Bacterial small subunit ribosomal RNA", at positions 524 to 776 of the family's 1533-position model. The record is from RNAcentral.